UGAGUAACGCGUAGGUAACCUGCCUUGUAGCGGGGGAUAACUAUUGGAAACGAUAGCUAAUACCGCAUAACAAUGGAUGACCCAUGUCAUUUAUUUGAAAGGGGCAAAUGCUCCACUACAAGAUGGACCUGCGUUGUAUUAGCUAGUAGGUGAGGUAACGGCUCACCUAGGCGACGAUACAUAGCCGACCUGAGAGGGUGAUCGGCCACACUGGGACUGAGACACGGCCCAGACUCCUACGGGAGGCAGCAUG
Molecule: ribosomal RNA, 253 nt
Filed under: uncultured bacterium
Lineage: Bacteria
Description: partial 16S ribosomal RNA
Rfam family: Bacterial small subunit ribosomal RNA
Source: RNAcentral